This 965-nucleotide long non-coding RNA is filed under the name Equus asinus (donkey). Its description in RNAcentral is "lncRNA (ENSEASG00005035733.1)". The record is from RNAcentral. Lineage: Eukaryota; Metazoa; Chordata; Mammalia; Perissodactyla; Equidae.
GCGAACUUAAGAAGGGACCCUUUCCAGUGGAACGCGACUUCACUCUUUCCGAUUCACUCAACGCUUUUUUGGAGACAGUACGUUCACGUGAGAAUCAAAAAGAAGCGAGUCUGCGUUCCAGAAAAUCACGUGGCCAAUCUUUCUCUCUCUCUCUCUCUCUCUUCCUCCUCCCUCCCUCUCUCUCUCUCUCUCUCUCUCUCUCGCUCUCUCGCUCUCUCGCUCUCUCAUCUUUUACAACCCUCUCCAGCCUGGCUGUGUGUACGAACUUUCAUACAGUCAUCGUGGGCGCUGCGGCGUGUUGAGAUGUGCCGGUCCUUGCACACUUUGGGGAAAUCCGUGGGUGGGGGAGACUGAAAAUGGCUGAGAACAGGACGACCAAAGAAAGCAGCUCCGUCGACCCGUUUCUUCCUGCCAGCUUACCCCCCUCCCCGCUUCCUGUUCUUUGGACCUCGCAGAUUAGCCCUGAGCUAACAUCUGUUGCCAAUCCUGCUCUUUUUGCUGAGGAAGACUGGCCCUGAGCUAACAUCCAUGCCCAUCUUCCUCUACUUUAUACGUGGGACGCCUGCCACAGCAUGGCUUGCCAAGCAGUGCCAUGUCUGCACCCGGGAUCUGAGCCAGUGAACCUUGGGCUGUGGAAGCCGAACGUGUGAACUUAACUGCCGCGCCACCAGAGUAAGAGACCCGUGAAAGUCGUAUUGUGAUCCCGCCUGGUUUUUAGCCCAUUUGUUCAAAAUACAUGGAUCAAAUCCGGUUGCUUCCAUGUGGAGUAAGUGGAUUGAAAGUAGCAACUUGAAUCUCAGCGUGUAAGAUAUUCGGGUAACUUUCCAUCCAUAGUGAUCAGCUUUCAGUUUUGAAAUGUAACUAAAUAAAGGAAGAUGAGAAAUAUUUCACAUGACUUUGUAUAAAGAAUAAUGCACCUCAUCGUUUACAGCACGGCUAUGUCUGUGAUCUGCCUUCACCAAAAC